GAUGAAGAACGUAGCGAAAUGCGAUAAGUAAUGUGAAUUGCAGAAUUCAGUGAAUCAUCGAAUCUUUGAACGCACAUUGCGCCCGCCAGUAUUCUGGCGGGCAUGCCUGUUCGAGCGUCAUUUCAACCAUCAAGCCCCCGGCUUGUGUUGGGGACCUGCGGCUGCCGCAGGCCCUUAAAACCAGUGGCGGGCUCGCUGUCACACCGAGCGUAGUAGAUUUUCAUCUCGCUCAGGGCGUGCUGCGGGUUCCGGCCGUAAAAAGCCUUAUUUACCCAAGGUUGACCUCGGAUCAGGUAGGAAGACCCGCUGAACUUAAGCAUAUCAAUAAGCGGAGGA
Molecule: unclassified non-coding RNA, 336 nt
Filed under: soil metagenome
Description: partial contains 5.8S ribosomal RNA, internal transcribed spacer 2, and large subunit ribosomal RNA
Rfam family: 5.8S ribosomal RNA (bases 1-120)
Source: RNAcentral